This is a long non-coding RNA of Nicotiana attenuata, 686 nucleotides long. RefSeq lists it as uncharacterized. Lineage: Eukaryota; Viridiplantae; Streptophyta; Magnoliopsida; Solanales; Solanaceae. The record is from RefSeq and is a predicted model, not a curated record. The transcript is spliced from 4 exons.
GAUUAUAAAAGAUAUCAAAUGUAAAUGGCAGACUUACAUUCUUGACAUACUGUUCCGUAUGUAAGAAUAAAGAAGGAAUGCCAUUAAUAGCUACGGGGUCAUCUUUAUUGAUUCGAUAACGACGAUUACAAAGAUUUGCAGCCAAGAUCCAAACAUUCUCUUGCUUUUCCUCAGAAACCUUUCUCUUGUUCUUCUGUCUCUUUCGGAUGGAGGAGAGAAAAAGCCCCCUUUCUUGUUCUCUUCCCUCCUAUAUAUACGUUUUUUCCCCAUAACUCAAUAAUUCCAAUGCUAGAGGAGUCCAAAUGGAAGUAUUUUGCUCUUCAGGCUUUCUUUGUUUUACUGCCCUCCCUAUGAAAGAAAAUGAAAAUGGAGAACUAGGGACUAUGGCUAGCCAGAAAUUGGUAGAAGAAUACCAGAUUGCUUGGAUGAAACUUUUGUCAAUGUAUAAUCUUCAGAGGAGAACUGGAACAACAUCAAGUAAUUAACUUUAGAGUUUGUGGUAAAUAAUUCGGUAAUUCCUUUUGAAUUUCUCCAUAGGAAGGGAGAAGCAAGAAAGAUUAUGUAAUUGUGUAGUAACGUAAAAGAGUAAUUACAUGUGCUUCUUUGCUUUUUCUAUCCAGUGCAAUAGGUUUCUGAAGUUUUGUAAAUGCCUAUUUUAGUGAAAAGUAGUAAUACUAAAGAAUUCA